Molecule: small RNA, 104 nt
Filed under: Kaistella jeonii
Lineage: Bacteria; Pseudomonadati; Bacteroidota; Flavobacteriia; Flavobacteriales; Weeksellaceae
Description: Chryseobacterium jeonii Flavo-1 RNA
Rfam family: Flavo-1 RNA
Source: RNAcentral
UCAUAGCCCUGAUUGCAGCGGCAUCCUUUUUUGCAUUGCUCGAAAUUUUCUUUUUAUAAAUAUGUUUUCGAGCAAAAAAGAUAUAGCGGAAAGCAGGUUCCCGG